RNAcentral lists this ribosomal RNA (469 nucleotides) under Calistocoris virgo. RNAcentral describes it as "bacterial SSU rRNA". It matches the Rfam family "Eukaryotic small subunit ribosomal RNA", at positions 691 to 1053 of the family's 1831-position model. Lineage: Eukaryota; Metazoa; Arthropoda; Insecta; Hemiptera; Reduviidae. The record is from RNAcentral.
CCUUCGGGUGUAACUUGCCUUUCCGGGCCUUUCCCUUCGGUGGGGAACGGGAAUUCCCGGGCCGCUUAAGGUUUCCUGCGAAGCAUUGUGCCGUGGGUAUUUCCGUUCGCCGAUCUCUCUUACUCCGGUGCUCUAAACCGAGUGUCGAGGUAGGCCCACACCUUUCCUUUGAACAAAUUAGAGUCCUUAAAGCAGGCUGAAAUAUCUGCCUGAAUAGUGGUGCAUGGAAUGAUAAAACAGGACCUCGGUUCAAUUUUGUUGGUUUUAGGAAUAUGAGGUAAUGAUCAAUGUGGACUGGCGGGGGCAUUCGUAUUGCGACGUUAGAGGUGAAAUUCUUGGAUCGUCGCAAGACGCACUAGAGCGAAAGCAUUUGCCAAGUAUGUCUUAAUUGAUCAAGAACGAAAGUUAGAGGUUCGAAGGCGAUCAGAUACCGCCCUAGUUCUAACCAUAAACGAUGCCAGCCAGCAAA